This 120-nucleotide ribosomal RNA is filed under the name uncultured bacterium. RNAcentral's name for it is "partial 16S ribosomal RNA". It matches the Rfam family "Bacterial small subunit ribosomal RNA", at positions 796 to 915 of the family's 1533-position model. The record is from RNAcentral.
CACACCGUAAACGAUGAUUACUAGGUGUGGGGGGUCUGACCCCCUCCGUGCCGGAGUUAACACAAUAAGUAAUCCACCUGGGGAGUACGACCGCAAGGUUGAAACUCAAAGGAAUUGACG